This 234-nucleotide ribosomal RNA is filed under the name uncultured bacterium. Its description in RNAcentral is "partial 16S ribosomal RNA". It matches the Rfam family "Bacterial small subunit ribosomal RNA", at positions 96 to 334 of the family's 1533-position model. The record is from RNAcentral.
UGGCGGACGGGUGAGUAAUGCUGGGAAACUGCCUGAUGGAGGGGGAUAACUACUGGAAACGGUAGCUAAUACCGCAUAACGUCGCAAGACCAAAGAGGGGGACCUUCGGGCCUCUUGCCAUCGGAUGUGCCCAGAUGGGAUUAGCUAGUAGGUGGGGUAAAGGCUCACCUAGGCGACGAUCCCUAGCUGGUCUGAGAGGAUGACCAGCCACACUGGAACUGAGACACGGUCCAG